RNAcentral lists this unclassified non-coding RNA (230 nucleotides) under Hevea brasiliensis (rubber tree). Lineage: Eukaryota; Viridiplantae; Streptophyta; Magnoliopsida; Malpighiales; Euphorbiaceae. The record is from RNAcentral.
AAAAAUUAUUUCUAUAACGGCCUUUACACUCGCUACUUAACGAUAAAGGCCGUUAUUUACUGUUAAGUAAUGGUAACGGUCCAUUACCUCAUUUAUUAUUUUAAGCCAAAUGGGGGCAAUAUUUUUUUAAUGUGUUUUUUUUUUUUUUUUUUGGUCUUAAGUGUUUUUAGAUAUUGUCUCUCCCUGUAAUCAAAACAGAACCUCCAUGACCAUCCUUUUUCUUGGCAAGC